GUCAGGAUGGCCGAGCGGUCUAAGGCGCUGCGUUCAGGUCGCAGCCGGGUCUUGCUGGCGUGGCUUCGAAUCCCACUUCUGACA
Molecule: transfer RNA, 84 nt
Filed under: Mizuhopecten yessoensis (Yesso scallop)
Lineage: Eukaryota; Metazoa; Mollusca; Bivalvia; Pectinida; Pectinidae
Description: tRNA-Leu
Rfam family: tRNA
About the family: Transfer RNA (tRNA) molecules are approximately 80 nucleotides in length. Their secondary structure includes four short double-helical elements and three loops (D, anti-codon, and T loops).
Source: RNAcentral